This 232-nucleotide ribosomal RNA is filed under the name Escherichia coli. RNAcentral's name for it is "partial 16S ribosomal RNA". It matches the Rfam family "Bacterial small subunit ribosomal RNA", at positions 1 to 229 of the family's 1533-position model. Lineage: Bacteria; Pseudomonadati; Pseudomonadota; Gammaproteobacteria; Enterobacterales; Enterobacteriaceae. The record is from RNAcentral.
AAAUUGAAGAGUUUGAUCAUGGCUCAGAUUGAACGCUGGCGGCAGGCCUAACACAUGCAAGUCGAACGGUAACAGAAAGCAGCUUGCUGCUUUGCUGACGAGUGGCGGACGGGUGAGUAAUGUCUGGGAAACUGCCUGAUGGAGGGGGAUAACUACUGGAAACGGUAGCUAAUACCGCAUAAUGUCGCAAGACCAAAGAGGGGGACCUUCGGGCCUCUUGCCAUCGGAUGUG